AGAGUUUGAUCCUGGCUCAGGACGAACGCUGGCGGCGUGCCUAAUACAUGCAAGUCGAGCGCAGGAAACAAGUUGAUCCCUUCGGGGUGAUGCUUGUGGAAUGAGCGGCGGACGGGUGAGUAACACGUGGGCAACCUGCCUUGUAGACUGGGAUAACUCCGGGAAACCGGAGCUAAUACCGGAUGACCAACGGAAUCGCAUGAUUCUGUUGUAAAAGUGGGGAGUAAUCCUCACACUACGAGAUGGGCCCGCGGCGCAUUAGCUAGUUGGUAAGGUAAUGGCUUACCAAGGCAACGAUGCGUAGCCGACCUGAGAGGGUGAUCGGCCACACUGGAACUGAGACACGGUCCAGACUCCUACGGGAGGCAGCAGUAGGGAAUCAUCCGCAAUGGGCGAAAGCCUGACGGUGCAACGCCGCGUGAACGAUGAAGGUUUUCGGAUCGUAAAGUUCUGUUAUGAGGGAAGAACAAGUGCCGUUCGAAUAGGGCGGCACCUUGACGGUACCUCACGAGAAAGCCCCGGCUAACUACGUGCCAGCAGCCGCGGUAAUACGUAGGGGGCAAGCGUUGUCCGGAAUUAUUGGGCGUAAAGCGCGCGCAGGCGGUCUCUUAAGUCUGAUGUGAAAGCCCACGGCUCAACCGUGGAGGGUCAUUGGAAACUGGGAGACUUGAGUGUAGGAGAGG
Molecule: ribosomal RNA, 683 nt
Filed under: uncultured bacterium
Lineage: Bacteria
Description: bacterial SSU rRNA
Rfam family: Bacterial small subunit ribosomal RNA
Source: RNAcentral